UAUAUCCUUUUAUCUGUGGAUUAAUUGUCGGAGGGCCUUGUGCAUUUCAGGCUGUUGAAGAAGUAUUUGCAGUAUAUAACGUUCAGGGAAGAAUGACUUCUGAAACGGACCCCAACACUGCUGGUGUUCAAUACAACCGCUGGAAUGAAGACAACAUCAACCUGAAUGUGGCUGGAACAGGUGUAACGGGGCUCUACAACAGGGUCUGCACUGGCACCCUGGGCGUAGCUAUCAAGGUGGCCGGAGCUUUGGCUGCACUAGUGGCUGUUUACAUCAUAGGAUACCUCAUUGGAUAUUACGCCCACAAAUGCUGACCAGCCACUGACCGAAGGACCCUUGUUCAGAGAGGAAGGACCCUCAAUGGAUGGAACUAUGUUAUGUAUCAAUUAUAUAUGGUUUUUAAAUGACCACAUAAUGGCUGUAUGAGAGGAUCAAAUAUUAUUGGAGCCACACUUUCAAUAAGUCAGGAUUUUUUGUUUCCUUUUUUUAGAAAUGUUGGGAUUGCAGUUUGCUUGUUGUAAAGUGAUUUUACAGCUUCCCCACAGCUUUGUCUUUUAUGUGAAAUGCCAGGGCAAUUAGAAGAUUAAGUCCAAAAUAUGAACAAAAUGUUUGACUUUUGGUAUUCAAAUCAAAUCAAAUUUAUUUAUAUAGCCCUUCGUACAUCAGCUGAUAUCUCAAAGUGCUGUACAGAAACCCAGCCUAAAACCCCAAACAGCAAGCAAUGCAGGUGUAGAAGCACGACAACAUUCAAUAUGUUCUUCUCAGUAAGUGAUAUUACAGUGCCUUCAGAAAGUAUUCAUACCCCUUGACCUAUUCCACAUUUUGUAGUGUUACAUCCUGAAUUUCUAAUGGAUUACAUUUUUACCACAUAAUGACAAAGUGAAAACAAGUUUUGACAAAAUUGUGCUCAUUUAUUGAAAUAAAGAAACAUUUCAUUUAGGUAAGUAUCACACCCCUGAGUCAAUACGUUAGAAUCACCUUUGGCAGCGAUUACAGCUGUGAGUCUUUCUGGGUAAGUCUCAAAGAGCUUUGAACAUCUGGAUUGUGCAAUAUUUGCACAUUACUAUUUUUUGAAUUCUUCAAGCUCCCUCAAUUUGCUUGUUGAUCAUUUCUAAAUACACUUUGAUAUUAUGGGCUAUUGUGUGUAAGCCAGUGACUAACGCUUAAUGAGUGAAUGGGUGUGGAGUCAGGCGCAGAGAACAUAGGAUGCGGGAAAA
Molecule: long non-coding RNA, 1217 nt
Organism: Oncorhynchus kisutch (coho salmon)
Lineage: Eukaryota; Metazoa; Chordata; Actinopteri; Salmoniformes; Salmonidae
Exons: 3
Source: RefSeq, a predicted model, not a curated record